This 775-nucleotide ribosomal RNA is filed under the name uncultured Neocallimastigales. Its description in RNAcentral is "partial large subunit ribosomal RNA". It matches the Rfam family "Eukaryotic large subunit ribosomal RNA", at positions 23 to 645 of the family's 3401-position model. The record is from RNAcentral. Lineage: Eukaryota; Fungi; Neocallimastigomycota; Neocallimastigomycetes; Neocallimastigales.
AGAGAGAGACAUGCGCGCAUAUCAAUAAGCGGAGGAAAAGAAACUAACUAGGAUUCCCUCAGUAACGGCGAGUGAAGCGGGAAGAGCUCAAAUUUGAAAUCUUCAAGGUUCUACCUUGACGAAUUGUAGUUUAAAGAAGUGUUUUCUGUUGGAGUUUUGGUAAAAGUUCUUUGGAAUAGGACAUCAUAGAGGGUGAGAAUCCCGUAUUUGACCAUUAUUUCCAGCUUUGUGAUACACUUUCAAAGAGUCGGAUUGUUUGGGAAUGCAGUCCAAAAUGGGUGGUAAAUUUCAUCUAAAGCUAAAUAUUGGCGAGAGACCGAUAGCGAACAAGUACCGUGAGGGAAAGAUGAAAAGAACUUUGAAAAGAGAGUUAAACAGUACGUGAAAUUGUCAAAAGGGAAGCGUUUGACACCAGUGUUGUUUUCUCGAAAAUCAAUUAAAAAAGGCAGGAUUUUGUGUUGUAUUGACUUUAUCAGCUUUCUGCACUCUAUUUUCUUGUCUUUUUUAAUGCACUUUUCGUUUAACAAGUCAACAUCAAUUUCUUUUGUUGUAAAAGGGUCAUUGGAAGGUGGCUUUCUUUUCGGAGAAAGUGUUUAUAGCCUUUGGCCUCUGCAAUCGGAGAGAUUGAGGUCUGCAGCGUAGAUCCUUCGGGGUUAGAUACAUUUGUGCUAAGUUAUAGCCUUUCAUAGACAACUUGUUGACUAUGAUCAGUCAUGUAGCUUACUCGCUUAUGCUAUUUUACCUACGCUUAGGAUGUUGAUGUGAUACUGCGAGC